CGGCGAAAAGGGCAAACCCAUCGAAAGGUGGGGGCGCAAAGCCACAGGUCUAAAGUUGGCGUGAGCUAACUAUGAUGGCUGGGUUGCCGCU
This 91-nucleotide non-coding RNA is filed under the name Chloroflexota bacterium. RNAcentral's name for it is "Chloroflexi bacterium c-di-GMP sequence". It matches the Rfam family "c-di-GMP-I riboswitch aptamer". From Rfam's summary of the family: GEMM was predicted in a large-scale screen for bacterial structured RNA regulatory elements. Genes associated with GEMM are involved in a diverse array of functions, including chemotaxis regulation, signal transduction, secretion and chitin. The record is from RNAcentral. Lineage: Bacteria; Bacillati; Chloroflexota.